CACACACACACUUGUGCACACAUUUGUAGGUCCUCGAGAGAGGAUCUAUGUCUUUCACCAUCCCAACCAACGUAUGUCUAGAAUGUCAAUAAUAAAUUACAACUUUCAGCAAUGGAUCUCUUGGCUCUCGCAUCGAUGAAGAACGCAGCGAAUUGCGAUAAGUAAUGUGAAUUGCAGAUUUUCAGUGAAUCAUCGAAUCUUUGAACGCACCUUGCGCUCCUUGGUAUUCCGAGGAGCAUGCCUGUUUGAGUGUCAUUUCAUCUAUCAACCAUGGCCUUGAUUGACUUCGAGAACAUGGCUUGGAGUUUGGGGGCCUGCUGGCGGACCUCGGUCGUCAGCUCUCCUGAAAUGUAUUAGCGAUAGUCGAGCAUAAUGGGUCCCCAACAUGCACGGCCUUUUUCGACGUGAUAAUGAUCGUCGUCGGGGCUGGAGUGGUUUGGAUUCACGAAGUUUCGCUUCCAAUCCCUAGUGCUGUUUUCAUUAACACACGUUUUCGAACCAUGACCUCAAAUCAGGAGGACAACGAC
RNAcentral lists this ribosomal RNA (527 nucleotides) under Tylopilus sp. MZ-2013. Its description in RNAcentral is "eukaryotic LSU rRNA". The stretch from base 101 to 255 matches the Rfam family "5.8S ribosomal RNA". The record is from RNAcentral. Lineage: Eukaryota; Fungi; Basidiomycota; Agaricomycetes; Boletales; Boletaceae.